This 64-nucleotide transfer RNA is filed under the name Anopheles guarani. RNAcentral's name for it is "tRNA-Cys". Lineage: Eukaryota; Metazoa; Arthropoda; Insecta; Diptera; Culicidae. The record is from RNAcentral.
GGCUUUAUAGUCAAUAAUGAUAUUAGACUGCAAUUCUAAAGGAAUAAAUAAUUUAUUUAAGCUU